This 3110-nucleotide small RNA is filed under the name Pan troglodytes (chimpanzee). RNAcentral describes it as "retained intron". Lineage: Eukaryota; Metazoa; Chordata; Mammalia; Primates; Hominidae. The record is from RNAcentral.
CAUCCUCCAAGGUCUGUCAUUACAUAAGGCCCGUGUAGAGACGUGGUUAUGAUCACGGCUUCAGGCUUGGCUUUGGGCUCUGCCAUUUUCUCAGUGAACAGUGACUUAGCUUCUCAAACCCUCUGUUUCGCCUUCUGUAAAAUGAGGGUGAGAAAAGCUGCCUGGGUGGUUGUGAUGCUCUAAGUUGUUCACUCGUCACAUGGACAUGUAUCAAGACAUCCUGUAUGCCCGGCACUAUCCUAGGCCCUGGGGCAGAGCAAGUGGACAAAACAGACUCUGGUGCCUGCCCUCACAGAGCGUGCAUUCAUCAGGGAGAUGAGCCGCUGAUACACCAGCAUAGGCACGCACGCACACACGUGCACACAUGCGUGCACACAUCUGAUACAAUGAUAAGGGGUGGCUGCUGCUGCAAAGAGGAAAAUGAAGGACUCUAGAGGAAGAGGAGCCAUUUCCAGUACCUCUGGGGAGGUGACAUGGGAUCAGAGCCCUGAGAGAAUGUUGGAGAGCCCUGGAAGCCCUGGGGCGGGACCCCCUGGGGCAUUGGAGGCCUUCGUGGCUGGAGCAGAGAGGCCUGGGAGGGUAGAGGGCAGAGCAUGUGGGCAAGGAUUUGGGUGUUAUUUCCAUUUCAGAGGGAGGUCACUGCGGGGGAGCUCUGAGCAGGAGUGAGGUGGCCUGGUUUGCACAUUAGGAAGCUCGGUCUGGCUGCUGAGUGCUGGCUUAGGGACAGUCAACACCUAGAGCAAUCAGCAGGGCGCCCGCCACAUGGAAGGGUCCAGUCAGCGCUGGCUCCCGUUGUUCUGUUAUUUCCAGAUGUGAUCUGUCUAUGGCAGCCAGCCCUCGGAGUCAUUCCAGGUGGCAGGCAGCCCCUUCCCCAGUGACGAGGGCCUGGUAGAAAGACAGGUCUGCUGAGCUCCUUCCCCAGGAGCUCUGAGUGGGCGCUUCUCCCUUCCCCACUCUGCUGUCACCAAGAGAGCAAAUGGUUCCUCACCCACCUGGGCCGGGGAUGGAUCUGCACAGAGGACAGAGGGGUGUUUUGUAUAGUGUAGUCAGAGAAGGCCUUUCCCAUAAGUGUAGAAAUGAUUUUCUAAGCAGCCAUAAAAAAAGAACAAAGUCAUGUCCUUGGUACCAGCAUGGAUGCAGCUGGAGGCCAUUGUCCUCAGGGAAUUAAUACAGAAACAGAGCGCCAAACACUGAGCAUUCUCAUUUAUAAGAGGGAGCUACACAUUGGGUACACACGGACACAAAGAUGGGAACAGAAGACACUGGGGAGUUCACAGUGGGGGUAGAAGGGAGACAAGGGUUGAAAAACUGCCUUUCAGGUACUAUGCUCAGUACCUGGGUGACAGGCUCAUUAGAAAUCUGUACCCCAGCAUUAGUCACACAGUAUGGCCAUGUAACCAACCUGCACAUGUGCCCCAAAUCUAAAAAUAGACAUUUUCUAGAUAUUUGGGGCAGAUUAUUAGCUUGGGAUGGCCAAGGGCCGAAGAGGUGGGGCAGAGGACAGUGGUUCCUCUCACCAGGAUCAGCCACUCGGAACUGAGCCAACACUGAAUUAUAUUGUACAUCACUGAGAAACUAACCUUGACGGAAAUAGCUCCAUGUUUCUUGGAGUUACAACACUUGCUGUAUCGAAGACGCUAUCUGUGCCUGCGUGAAUGGAAUUUCAGAGGAGAUGCUUUUUUGGGCUCUGGGUUUCCAGAUGUGUUAAGGAUCUCCAAAGACCUCCUCUCUGUCCUGAUACAUAGGAGAGCCCAUCCCUCACAGCCCAGACCUCACACCCUUUAAUCGUCCCAACACAAAAUUCACUAGUGAUGUCUUCUUUUUUACUUUACGUAUCUGUCUGCUUGCUGUCAACAACCACAUAGAAUCACCAGGGACACCAGUAUAGACCUGUGAAGGGGCCGUACUGAUCAGGUUAAGGAAUAGUAAUGGCUCAUUUCUACCUCACGCGAGGCUGCACAGGCCCGGGUCUGGGAAGCCAGGGCUCUGGUUUUUGUUCUGUUAGAGACAGUCUGGGAGGGCUCUGGGGCGUGGGUUCCUCCCAAGGAAAAGCUGGGGUUUGAGAUGCCCCCACUGGUGAGGCUGAGUUGCAUCUGAGGCCUCGGCUGGCCCCAGAGACCCAGUUUAGACUUUCUGGGCUCCAUCAUUUGGCUCCUGGUCUCUCCUGCCAGAGGACGAACAGAGAGAGAAGUCAGUCUCCCACCAGACGGUGCAGCAGCUGGUUCUGGAGAAGGAGCAAGCCCUGGCCGACCUGAACUCCGUGGAGAAGUCUCUGGCCGACCUCUUCAGGAGAUAUGAGAAGAUGAAGGAGGUCCUAGAAGGCUUCCGCAAGAAUGAAGAGGUGUUGAAGAGAUGUGCGCAGGAGUACCUGUCCCGGGUGAAGAAGGAGGAGCAGAGGUACCAGGCCCUGAAGGUGCACGCGGAGGAGAAACUGGACAGGGCCAAUGCUGAGAUUGCUCAGGUUCGAGGCAAGGCCCAGCAGGAGCAAGCCGCCCACCAGGCCAGCCUGCGGAAGGAGCAGCUGCGAGUGGAUGCCCUGGAAAGGACGCUAGAGCAGAAGAAUAAAGAAAUAGAAGAACUCACCAAGAUUUGUGACGAACUGAUUGCCAAAAUGGGGAAAAGCUAACUCUGAACCGAAUGUUUUGGACUUAACUGUUGCGUGCAAUAUGACCGUCGGCACACUGCUGUUCCUCCAGUUCCAUGGACAGGUUCUGUUUUCACUUUUUCGUAUGCACUACUGUAUUUCCUUUCUAAAUAAAAUUGAUUUGAUUGUAUGCAGUACUAAGGAGACUAUCAGAAUUUCUUGCUAUUGGUUUGCAUUUUCCUAGUAUAAUUCAUAGCAAGUUGACCUCAGAGUUCCUGUAUCAGGGAGAUUGUCUGAUUCUCUAAUCAAAGACACAUUGCUGACCUUGGCCUUGCCCUUUGUACACAAGUUCCCAGGGUGAGCAGCUUUUGGAUUUAAUAUGAACAUGUACAGCGUGCAUAGGGACUCUUGCCUUAAGGAGUGUAAACUUGAUCUGCAUUUGCUGAUUUGUUUUUAAAAAAACAAGAAAUGCAUGUUUCAAAUAAAAUUCUCUAUUGUAAAUAAAUUUUUUUCUUUGGAUCUUGGC